This 468-nucleotide ribosomal RNA is filed under the name uncultured bacterium. RNAcentral's name for it is "partial 16S ribosomal RNA". It matches the Rfam family "Bacterial small subunit ribosomal RNA", at positions 28 to 507 of the family's 1533-position model. The record is from RNAcentral.
GACGAACGCUGGCGGCGUGCUUAACACAUGCAAGUCGAACGGAAAGGCCCUGCUUUUGUGGGGUGCUCGAGUGGCGAACGGGUAAGUAACACGUGAGUAACCUGCCCUUGAAUUUGGGAUAACUUCAGGAAACUGGGGCUAAUACCGGAUAGGAGAUCCUGCUGCAUGGUGGGGGUUGGAAAGUUUCGGCGGUUGGGGAUGGACUCGCGGCUUAUCAGCUUGCUGGUGGGGUAGUGGCUUACCAAGGCUUUGACGGGUAGCCGGCCUGGGAGGGUGACCGGCGACCAUAGUACUGCGAGACGGCGCAGACGCCUACGUGCGGCAGCAGUGGGGAAUAUUGCACAGCGGGCGGGAGCGUGAUGCAGCAGCGCCGCGAUCGGGAUGCCGGCCUUCUGGUUGUAAACCGCUUUCGCCGUUGACGAAGCGUGAGUGACGGUAACGGGUAAGGAAGCACCGGCUAACUACGUG